GGCAGGACCAGGUGGAGGUAGUUGAAUCAUGGGGCCGGUUUUCCCUAUGCUAUUCUCGUGAGAGACAGUGAGUCUCACAAGAUCUGGUGGUUUUAUAAGCAUCCAGCCCUGCUUGCACUUACUCUAUCCUGCUGUCCUACGAGGAAGGUGCCUGCUUCUCCUUUGCCUCUGUCAUGAUUGUGAACUUCCUGAGGCCUCCCCAGCCAUGCAGAACAGUUUAUGAAGAACGUUCAAGAGUGUGGUGCUUCAUACUGAGUGUCCACUUGACUGGAUUGAAGGAUACAAAGUAUUGCUCCUGGGUAUGUCUGUGAGGGUGUUGCCAAAGGAGAUUAACAUUUGAGUCAGGGAGCUGGGGAAGGCAGAUCCACCCUUAAUCUGGUGGGCGCAAUCUAAUGAGCUGCCAGUGUGUCUAGAAUAUAAAGCAGGCAGAAAAAUGUGAAAAGAGAGACUGGUCUAUCUUCCUAGCCCACAUCUUUCUCCUGUACUGAAUGCUUCUUCAGUUUUGGAACUCGGACUGGCUCUCCUUGCUCCUUAGCCUGAAGAUGGCCUAGAGUGGGACGUUGUGAUUGAGUGAGUUAAUACUUAAUAACCUCCCCUACUAUUUCUCUAUUCCACUAGUUC
RNAcentral lists this long non-coding RNA (621 nucleotides) under Callithrix jacchus (white-tufted-ear marmoset). Its description in RNAcentral is "lncRNA (ENSCJAG00000067388.2)". Lineage: Eukaryota; Metazoa; Chordata; Mammalia; Primates; Cebidae. The record is from RNAcentral.